RNAcentral lists this unclassified non-coding RNA (154 nucleotides) under uncultured fungus. RNAcentral's name for it is "sequence contains ITS1, 5.8S rRNA gene". The record is from RNAcentral. Lineage: Eukaryota; Fungi.
CUGAGUUCUGGGUCUAACCGACCCGACCUCCAACCCUUUGUUGUCCGACUCUGUUGCCUCGGGGGCGACCCUGACCUUCGGGUCUCGGGGCCCCCGGUGGACCAUCAAACUCUGCGUUAAUAUGUCGUCUGAGUACUUUGAUUAAAUCAUAUCA